AGUAACGGCGAGUGAAGCGGCAACAGCUCAAAUUUGAAAUCUGGCUCUCGGGCCCGAGUUGUAAUUUGUAGAGGGUGCUUUGGCGUUGGCUGUGGUCUAAGUUCCUUGGAACAGGACGUCGCAGAGGGUGAGAAUCCCGUAUGUGGCCGCCAGUCUUCGCCGUGUAAAGCCCCUUCGACGAGUCGAGUUGUUUGGGA
Molecule: ribosomal RNA, 197 nt
Filed under: Exosporium sp.
Lineage: Eukaryota; Fungi; Ascomycota; Dothideomycetes
Description: partial large subunit ribosomal RNA
Rfam family: Eukaryotic large subunit ribosomal RNA
Source: RNAcentral